AAUCGGCCAAACCUGCGGAUGCGGCAGGUAAACAAACUGGCCUGGCCUGCCAGUGGCUUUCUUGCAUAAGCGGUGGAACAAGUUUGGGAACCACUGAUCUAGAUAACUCUGGUUCUUCUUAAGGAGACUCCCCUUUUCCUAAGAGAAACUCUUAGCCAGCAAGAGCUAACUGCCAAUCCCCAACUAUUAUUCCCAACAGCUAUGGACCCUUCCUUUUCCAACUUUCUAUGGAGGUCAUGCCAAAUUUUCUGUUCAAAGUUCCUCCCCAACUGCAGAUUUAAUAUUGAUGCUAAUUAGAUGUACUCUGAAGACAAACCAUCCUUCUGAACAGCACUUACAGUAUCUCCAUUAACUUGAAGUCACAGUAUUUAUGGAGCCAAUAGCCCUUCGUACUAAAUUUACUUCAAUGGGGGUCUGAGUUUGGGAUCAGCAAUCUCUAGUUUCCCUCACUGGGGUUUGUUGAGCAGAAGACACAUCUUCAGCCCUUUCUCUGGUUAAGGCAAAACCUCAACAAUCUUCCCAUUUCCUGCCAACUCUCAUAUUUAGACCCAGCAGUAUCCAGGAAACAACUAGAAAGUUGCCAUGAGAAUUCAGAUAUCACUUUCUAGAAUGCUUUGGUGCUUUAGAGUCCUGCCCUUGCACAAUAAUUAGUAACAAAAUGUUAUGCAAUGUAUUGGCAGGGCAACAGCUCAAUUUAAUAACUCAGUGGCUUACUUGCAAAAUUAAUGCCAAAAUUUAAAAUCAAAUGCCAAAAUUGAUUUUUCAAAAUACCACACCCAACUUUAGGGAAUAUCUGCCUACUUAAUAUUGAAAUUUAAGCAGUUAAUUUUUUGGAGGGAAAAAAAUCUCUCGUGGAAGAAUAUUUGCUUUUGUAUGUAUUUUACAAGGUAAUGAAACAAUUGUGUAAUAGGUUGACAUUAUUGGGAAGAAGAACAGUUCAUUGAAGAGUUUACAGGAAAGAAUGACUUCAGACUAAAGGGAGAGUUUACUUGAGAUAAGAGAGAAACGUUGUUGUAACAGCAAUUCAACAAUGGAACACCCUCGCACAUGAGGUCACUGAGGCUCUAUAAAUGAUGUUUAGAGAUUAGAUAAGACUCAGUAACCUUUAUGAUAGAUACAAUCCUUUGCAGACAAAUUUUUUUAUUGUAUGGGAAGAUUUAAAGAUUUUGUAAAAGCUAUUAGACUUACGUGCCAGAACGGUGUGCUUUAGAAAAGCUGAAACCACAGAAGACAGACACUGAGAAAAGAAAAAUGAUUAAUAGAAAACUAAAUUUCCUUUUGACUGAACACACCAAAAAUCACAGGGAAGCCUAUUUAAAAAUUAAAGCUGAAAGGGAACGUAUUUUUGUUUAACAAAUGCCUGUGCUAUUAAGAGCCAAAUUCUCAUCUCCCAUCUUAUCUUAGUUUCAUGUCCUCUGCUUUGCUUCCCAGCCAUGCUUGGUGUUGCCCCUGGACUGCAUGAACAUUUUCCUUAUUUGUGCUUCCAGGAACUACUAUGACUGCCAGCUAUCCCUGAAAUCUCCUUUGUGUGCCAUGAAUGGGAGGAGUGAGUCUGAUAAAGGAUAUUUCAUCAUCUGUAAUUCUCUAUCCAGAUGUUUUAUUUGAUAGGGGUAACUUUUUAAUUUAAAAAUAAAUUAAAUAAAUCCAUUUAGUGGCUCUUUUGCUUAACAUAAAUCUUUAAUGCGAGUCUCUAUUACAAAGUGCUUUUAUGCAAAAAUAAGUUGCUAUACUAAAAUAUAUGCAGCAAGUCAUCACUUUUAUUCCAUAUUUACUCCUGUAAGUUUAAUGUAUGUUAGCAAUCUAAAAGAUAGUCUUAGAAACAAGCAAAACAUUUUUAAUUACUAAGAGAAAGGACUGAAUAUAUUUUUUCACAAACAUUUAGAAUGUCUGUUAUAAUUCAGCACAGAACAACUUUGCUCCAUUUCAUAAAUACAUGAGGUCCCAAGUCUGAAAUUCUUACUCAUGAGACUAUUCCCAUUUAAAUCAAUUGCACAAAUGGCAAGAGUAAAGGUUUCAGAAUCAGGUGACUAAAGAAUGUCUGGAAUGCAGUGAAUUACAAGAAAAUGAUUUCAUCUAGAUCGUUUGGUGACUCAUAAACCACAAAAGCAGUACUCAAAGCUGAAGGCAGUCAGACAUUCUGUUUAGCUCACCAUAGUAUACAUAUUGUCAUUUAAGAUUACAAUAUAGUUGGAGCUUGGAUUGUACAUUACAAAACUAAAAUAUCAGUGUAACAGUUUAAAAUAUUUGAAACUAGUGUAUUGUAAUUGUUAUGUAUUUAACUAUUUUGAGUUUCACUCUCCUCAUUCUUGAACUUUGAUUUAAACUUCCAAAAAAGUAACACACCCAUUGGGGUAUGGAAAAUUUCUGACUGAUGGGUGACAGUUGAGGACUGUCUGAGUAAGAUUGGAAUGGAAACCUUUAUGUAAUUUUAAUUGUAGCAGUUGAUACCAUUUACAUCAUAAUCAGUUAAAUUAGUUGUAGGCCUUGGCACUAGAAGAAAUCUAUGAGGUGGAAAGUUAAAUGAAGCUUUUGCUGAAAGGGACAUUGCCAACUUAAUCUAGAUUUUUUUUUUCCAAAAAUUAGUUAAGUCAUCUCAGCCUCCUGAGUCAACCUGCCAACUUUUGUGGUUUGCAAUCGUACUUCACUAUUUUUAACAAUGGUUUUCCUCUUCCUGGUGCUGCGUAGGACACGGGAAACUGAAAAAAGCCCCAGUUCUGUAAUGAAGUGGUAUGUGGGCACAUGGAUUCAACUACUCAGCUCUAGUGCAGACUUACAUUACUGAUUACCUAUUGUGCUGUUGAUUGUAUUUUUGCUACUCCAACAUUCCUUGGCCCCCUGGCCAAUUCAUUCACUUCUGGAGUUCUCCCCUGUAGUAACCCUUACGUAUACCAAAAAAUCAUAAAUCGACUCACUACCUUGUCAUCUUCAAGAGUCUCUGCUCUUUUGUUGUACCUACAGAAUACUCACAUAAAAAUGGUUCCACUGGCAGUAAGUUACAUUGUGUGCACAGCUAACAUACAUGAACACAUGCUUGUAUUAUUGUUACCUUGUCCUCCCUAUCCCCAUUUGUUUCACUUACCCUGAAGUUACUUAUCCAAGGUUACAUAGCUGGUCCAUAGCAGAGACAGGAAUUAGAGCCCUUGACUCGUCACUUCCAAUCCAGUGCCCUAUCCACUGGACCUCAUUGUUCUAUGUGCUGUUCAGACACAGGUAUGUAUAUGCUGCAGUGUACAAGUGGCUGGGCCCCUUUGCAUGCAAAACUGUGCUUGUGGAUGCUCACAUGUGGGAUUAGUAUUGCACAGCUGCAUCCAAGUCAGACUCAUCUAGCUGUGUGCACACUGGUAUUGCAGUUACACUGGUUUGGCACUAGGAUUGCUGUGAGCAUAUCCCAGGGUUCUUAGUACUUCACUAACCUGGUCUCUUCUAGGAAGUGGUUUGCAGUAUAUUGUGGGAGAACUUGCCCAUCCUUCCCAAACCCCUACACAGAAGCGUUCUUAACCCCCUAACGCAUUUGGCUGUGGCACGCCCAGCUUGGCAUGCUCUCUGCUUCUGGCCAUUCCAGCCCAUGCCAAGCCCUAGCUUGAGCACAGGUGGAUGAGCUGUUCCUGCUUGUGACAACUAUAGACAGAUGGACUGUGGAUAGCAUUUCACCAUCAGUGUCUGACCCUCAGAAGGCAGGGGCAGGUCUUGGAAGGGAGUUCACUCAUGGCAGAGUGGAGAUAUACCUGUUGCAUGCUGCAAUCAUAUGUAGAGUAGUGCUAGAUAGUUAGUACCAUGGGAUCACAUCAUCAUGCAGACCUGGGAUGAACAGCAGUGGGCCCAGAACUCCUGAGGAAGGCCAACUUCAUGGAGCCGUAUGAAUAGCAUGCUCCCAGACACACAAAUGGUGCUGUGAUAGCAGCAGUUGAUGCUAUGGUUUACCAGUAGGUGGUGGAUAUAAACAAGGUGCCAGAAAUAAUAGCUGGCUUCGAGAUAAUUGGCUUCCCCCAAACUGUGCUGGGCCAGCAAUUGCAUUUAUGGUACUGCCACGAAGGGCACAGGAAAGUGAAAACUGCAAAGGUUAUUAUGCAUUCUGCAGGCCU
This is a long non-coding RNA of Dermochelys coriacea (leatherback sea turtle), 4082 nucleotides long. RefSeq lists it as uncharacterized. The transcript is spliced from 2 exons. NCBI's taxonomy places the organism in Eukaryota, Metazoa, Chordata, Testudines, Dermochelyidae. The record is from RefSeq and is a predicted model, not a curated record.